CAGCAGAGAUUGUCUUUGGGAGAAACACCAACAAAACUACAUCUGGAAAUAUUAUCUGAUCUACAGCAGCCAGCCAUUGAAACCCAAAGAUGGAGACACCCAACAGAUGGGACCCAUGGAGAUGGGAGGAACUACCUCAGGAGACCCCCUCCCCUGCCUGAAGUGUCCUGGAGUGGGCCGCUGCGGACAUCUGUCAGGGUCCCCAGACAGAUGGUCUCGGCUUCUAUGAACUUUCUAAUUAAGUGAAAGUACCUGACUUGGUCUAGAAGAUAAUUGACCUCAACUGGAGUUGAAGCAGAGGGAGCCAGGGGCACUGUCAGCUAAUGGAAGGCAAAUCCGCUACCUGGGGAAAUGGCUGUGUUCACACUAAUCCUGUGGCCUGCAGGCUCGGGUCUGAUUUAAUAGGGGCACUGAGGGGAUAGGUCAUUGUCCACACUGCCUGUCAAGAGCACAG
Myxocyprinus asiaticus (Chinese sucker) is the source of this 454-nucleotide long non-coding RNA. RefSeq lists it as uncharacterized. The record is from RefSeq and is a predicted model, not a curated record. The transcript is spliced from 3 exons. NCBI's taxonomy places the organism in Eukaryota, Metazoa, Chordata, Actinopteri, Cypriniformes, Catostomidae.